This 415-nucleotide ribosomal RNA is filed under the name uncultured bacterium. RNAcentral's name for it is "bacterial SSU rRNA". It matches the Rfam family "Bacterial small subunit ribosomal RNA", at positions 355 to 769 of the family's 1533-position model. The record is from RNAcentral.
UAAGGAAUAUUGCUCAAUGGGAGAAAUCCUGAAGCAGCAACGCCGCGUGGAGGAUGAAGGGUCUAUGACUUGUAAACUCCUGUAAAGAAGGAAAAAAUUCCCAUUUGAUGGGAGAUGAUGGUACUUCUGGAGUAAGCCCCGGCUAACUACGUGCCAGCAGCCGCGGUAAUACGUAGGGGGCAAGCGUUGUCCGGAUUUACUGGGUGUAAAGGGUGCUCAGGCGGAUUUGUAAGUCAGAGGUGAAAUCUUACAGCUUAACUGUGAAACUGCCUUUGAUACUGCAAGCCUAGAGUAUGGAAGAGAGUGAUGGAAUAUCUGGUGUAGCAGUGAAAUGCGUAGAUAUCAGAUAGAACACCAAUGGCGAAGGCAGUCACUUGGGCCAUUACUGACGCUAAAGCACGAAAGCGUGGGUAGC